UGAGGACCCAAUCUGCUUGGGCAAUGUCAUGUAGCAGGCAAAUGCUCUCAAAGUCCUGCAAAAAGUUGUCUAUGCCUACUUCAGCUUCCGCAAACUGCUUGAAGGCUUAGUAGGGCAUUUUGGGCUUGUGUACUGGGGUGGCCGGGCCACCCAGGGCCAUUUUCCUUCCUGGAUGGGCAUGGUGUUCGUCCAAGCUCUCUGGGCCAGGAUAUAUGCCUGUGCCUCUUCGAAGAUCCGAG
This is a non-coding RNA of Pelobates cultripes (western spadefoot toad), 239 nucleotides long. The record is from the annotation of a GenBank genome assembly. NCBI's taxonomy places the organism in Eukaryota, Metazoa, Chordata, Amphibia, Anura, Pelobatidae.